RNAcentral lists this small RNA (748 nucleotides) under Histoplasma ohiense. RNAcentral's name for it is "hypothetical lncRNA". Lineage: Eukaryota; Fungi; Ascomycota; Eurotiomycetes; Onygenales; Ajellomycetaceae. The record is from RNAcentral.
ACGAGGGCAGCUAACGGUUCCAGCUUUCGGCUCGAAGAACGAUGCACCCCAUGAAUUAACCCCGAACAACACGCCACUCGUUUAAGAAUCGAUAACUUGUACGAGUGGAAUUGGCAGAAACCCAUGGCUAUAAAGCCGGAAAAAUCAUCUGGCCGUUAAAAGCCCGGGCUCGCUAAAUUACCCGCUUUACACAGCCCGAUGUCGCUGUUGAUCAGAGCUCCAACUCUUCUUUCUGCUUUACAUGGUACUUCAAAUGCCGAUCUUGUCUUCCGUUUCAAACAUGCUUUUCUAAUUAUUAUGCUUAUGACAUGCAGCCACGACUUAUUAGGUGAAGGUAUGUAUAUAGUAAAGGGAGCUUGAGGAUAGGAUGGCUAUAGUUCUAAAAUAAUGGACCAUAUUUAAGGAUGGAGAACGCCCGUCAAUUGCGACUUUAGUUGUUGUUUUUAAUCAGGAGAAGACGAAAAACAUGUUCGUCAGGACUGGAUGGCGGGGAAUUGAACCCUCCGCGGCUCCUUACCCGGAUUUAGCUCCCUUGGUUGUCUUGGAGCCCUGAAGAGGGAUUGAUGAGCUUUGGCCCUUCCUUCCAUACCUUGGUGAAGUUCCACCCCCGUCGCUUCUUCCCUCGUAUUACCAUCUCUACACAUCGGCCACUUUCAGCCAUUAUCACCUUAUCAAGCAAUGACCCAGUAAAUAAGCUUAUCCAAGGAGCGUAAGAAAAAGAAAAGGAAAAAGAAAAAGUAUUCCAAAG